RNAcentral lists this ribosomal RNA (271 nucleotides) under uncultured bacterium. RNAcentral's name for it is "partial 16S ribosomal RNA". It matches the Rfam family "Bacterial small subunit ribosomal RNA", at positions 524 to 794 of the family's 1533-position model. The record is from RNAcentral.
UACGUAGGGUGCAAGCGUUGUCCGGAAUUAUUGGGCGUAAAGAGCUCGUAGGCGGUUUGUCGCGUCUGCUGUGAAAUCCCGAGGCUCAACCUCGGGCUUGCAGUGGGUACGGGCAGACUAGAGUGCGGUAGAGGAGAGUGGAAUUCCUGGUGUAGCGGUGAAAUGCGUAGAUAUCAGGAGGAACACCGAUGGCGAAGGCAGCUCUCUGGGGCGGCCCUGACGCUGAGGCGCGAAAGCGUGGGGAGCGAACGGGAUUAGAUACCCUUGUAGU